RNA transcript from Pseudophryne corroboree (corroboree frog), 1660 nucleotides. It is a transcript of the gene named G kinase anchoring protein 1, with no coding region annotated. The transcript has 14 exons. The record is from RefSeq and is a predicted model, not a curated record. NCBI's taxonomy places the organism in Eukaryota, Metazoa, Chordata, Amphibia, Anura, Myobatrachidae.
GUGAGCAGUUGGUAUAGGUAACUGUGUGCCCGGAGACCAGUGCUGCUAGUUGUUGCCCACCCUCAUCAUCGCUGAGCUAGCGCCGACGUCACUACAGAGUAUCGAAGCCGUUCCCUUGUGGGCCGGUGCAGCAGCUUUUCUACAUACAGCAGACUAACUACGAUAGUGAUGGCUUCAGCCGUUGUGAGUUUGGUCCCCACCACUGCUUCCCGUUUCGCUCUUCUGAAGGUAGACAGCAGCAGUGACUCUGAUUCUGAGAAAACAAGAGCAACGCGUGGUGCAGGGAAAUUACGUGGAUCAGCUGCAAGUGGGAAAAACAAUACAAAUGAGAAAAAGAGGGAAAAAAGGAGGAAAAAGAAAGAACAGCAACAAAGUGAGGCUAAUGAGCUCAGAAAUCUUGCUUUUAAGAAGAUCCCCCAGAAAUCCUCACAUGGCAGUGGUGGGCCUCAGCAGGACUCUGUUCCACAGCCUAAAGGUGCUCAUGAAGAAGACUGGCAACAGUGGCGUCAGAGAGAUGAGCAGCUUACAUCUGAUCUAUAUGAAGCAGACCUUGAAAAGGCCUUAAUGCUGAGUAAACUAGAAUAUGAGGAACAGAAAAAGGAAAUUGACAGUGGAGGAAAUGGCUCGCCUCAGUCAAAAAGAGUCAAUAAAAAGGAUAAACGAAAGAAUCACCAAGGAAAGGACAAGCCUCUCACAGUGUCCUUAAAAGACUUCCAGUCAGAAGAACAGCCUACUAGGAAACCAGAGGAUGCGAAAUCCCCUCCGAUGUUACCACAUGACCGUGGUUUUUUCAAUAAACUUGAAGAUGAUGUGACCAAAAUAAUUUUUAAAGAAAAGAGAAAAGAACAUACCCCAUUUCCUGAUGUAAUGGAAAGUUUGGCAUCAUCUGAUCAGAGUUUGGAACCUGUCCUGAAAGAUGGCAGAACAGAGUUACUAAAGCUGGAAAUAGAGAAGAAAGACACAGAGAUGCAACAUCUCAAAAGUAUAAUUUCUCAGUGGGAGGCAAAAUACAAAGAAGUGAAAGCAAGAAAUGCUCAAGUUCUUAAAAUGCUGCAAGAAGGUGAAAUGAAAGACAAAGCAGAAAUCCUUCUGCAAGUGGAUGAAUUGCUGACCAUUAAGAAUGAGUUAACCGUACAGGUCACUGCUCUACAUGCUGCUUUAGAGCAAGAGCGAUCAAAAGUCAAGGUUCUUCAAGCUGAGCUGGUGAAAUACCAGCAACAGCCUGGCCUUGAAACACUUUUCCCAAGUUCUGUGCUUCUUUUGGUUCUGGUUUCUGAUUGGUCUACCAGUUCACGCAUCCUCCUCUGCCAAUAUAAAGUGACCAACUAAAUAGAUUUGUGGUGCUGUACUACAGAACUGCAUAUGAGGUUUCGGUUGGAGGAAUGACCAAUUUAGAUCAAUUGAUGUGGUAGAGCAGCUUUAAGCCUGUUUACCACAUCAUAUCAAUUCUGCUAGCUCAAAGUAGAGCUUGAGGGUGGUAAAAAGGGAAAAAGGAAUUCUGAAUCUGACCAUGGGCGAUGAUCAUGCGUUUUCCACAUAGCUGAAGGAGAAUGGAUUAUUUUCUAAAAAGCACUAACUUUUCUGCAGAGUUUAAAUACUGCUGUACAAUGCCAUACAUUGUUAGUUUUUCAUGACUAAAUAAAACUUAUAUUUCCAUUUG